CAGUUAGCGCUCAAAAAAAUGUUAGCUCCUAUUAAAAAGUUUGCAUUCGGGAGAGCCAAAUACCACAUGACGAUGACCAGGGAUGGAUCUCUGAAGACAGAGUGCUAUAUAUGACAUGUUUCUUAUGUGUUUCUAUGUGACUGUGGAUUUAAAGGCAAUCCAGACUGCCAGAGACAGAGAAGCCAAAGUGCAUCUGGGAAGCAAAUGUGUGACUGCACAUCACUGGACAUCAAGUGUGGAUUAUGUCUUCACAUCAAACUGGAAGACUAGAGAAGCUGAACAUAUGAGUGAGCUCAGCUAAGAGACCAAGGAAAGAGGAGAAAAGAGGAACCAAGUGAUAGGUGAUUGAAAGAUAUGACUAGGCGGGAAGGCCAGUCUCGUGUCUCCCACUGCUUGUAUGAGAAGGGCAAA
This 411-nucleotide long non-coding RNA is filed under the name Homo sapiens (human). RNAcentral describes it as "HSALNT0197339". The record is from RNAcentral. Lineage: Eukaryota; Metazoa; Chordata; Mammalia; Primates; Hominidae.